RNAcentral lists this ribosomal RNA (406 nucleotides) under uncultured bacterium. Its description in RNAcentral is "partial 16S ribosomal RNA". It matches the Rfam family "Bacterial small subunit ribosomal RNA", at positions 30 to 526 of the family's 1533-position model. The record is from RNAcentral.
AUUGAACGCUGGCGGCAGGCCUAACACAUGCAAGUCGAACGGGUGGCGGACUGGUGAGUAAUGUCUGGGAAACUGCCUGAUGGUGGGGGAUAACUACUGGAAACUGUAGCUAAUACCGCAUACCAUCCUCUGUGCCGAUAUGGGAGUAGCUAGUAGGUGGGGUAAAGGCUCACCUAGGCGACGAUCCCUAUCUGGUCUGAGAGGAUGACCAGCCACACUGGAACUGAGACACGGUCCAGACUCCUACGGGAGGCAGCAGUGGGGAAUAUUGCACAAUGGGCGUAAGCCUGAUGCAGCCAUGCCGCGUGUAUGAAGAAGGCCUUCGGGUUGUAAAGUACUUUCAGCGGGGAGGCGUUACCCGCAGAAGAAGCACCGGCUAACUCCGUGCCAGCAGCCGCGGUAAUAC